AUGGUAAUUAAACCUGUCAAGAUUAUAGCAGCUCUCUUCUAUGUUAUUUAUACUGAGUUACGGAUCUAAGUAACGCCAGCCUUAGCCACUCUUAAGUGGCUUUCAUACUUAGUUGCUGUUCUCUUAGGCUUAACUCCCGUUUAUCUGUAUAAGUUGUAUAAGUAAGGGAUUAACCAGGUGUUGGAUGAGAAGCAGCCUAGGUGAGAUUUGUUCUCUUAGGCUUAACUCCCGUUUAUCUAUAUAAGUUGUAUAAGUAAGGGAUUAACCAGGUGUUGGAUGAGAAGCAGCCUAGGUGAGAUCCAUUUGAUCUGUUAGCUGCUAAUGGAUUCUAUCGUCAUUUCGACAGUGAAAUAAAUCUUUGAGAAGCAGCCUAGGUGAGAUCCAUUU
RNAcentral lists this long non-coding RNA (387 nucleotides) under Nicotiana benthamiana. Its description in RNAcentral is "long non-coding RNA (NBEN_LNC014127)". The record is from RNAcentral. Lineage: Eukaryota; Viridiplantae; Streptophyta; Magnoliopsida; Solanales; Solanaceae.